This 255-nucleotide ribosomal RNA is filed under the name uncultured bacterium. Its description in RNAcentral is "partial 16S ribosomal RNA". It matches the Rfam family "Bacterial small subunit ribosomal RNA", at positions 524 to 776 of the family's 1533-position model. The record is from RNAcentral.
UACGUAGGGGGCGAGCGUUGUCCGGAAUCAUUGGGCGUAAAGAGCUCGUAGGCGGUUCAGUAAGUCAGGUGUGAAAGCUCCGAGCUCAACUCGGAGAGGCCACCUGAUACUGCUGUGACUAGAAUCCAGUAGGGGAGUGUGGAACUCCUGGUGUAGCGGUGAAAUGACGCAGAUAUCAGGAAGAACACCAGCGGCGAAGGCGGCACUCUGGGCUGGAAUUGACGCUGAGGAGCGAAAGUGUGGGUAGCAAACAGG